CCGCGUGCGGGAUGACGGCCUUCGGGUUGUAAACCGCUUUCAGCAGGGACGAAGGGUCACCUUGACGGUACCUGCAGAAGAAGCACCGGCUAACUACGUGCCAGCAGCCGCGGUGAUACGUAGGGUGCGAGCGUUGUCCGGAAUUAUUGGGCGUAAAGAGCUUGUAGGCGGUCUGUUGCGUCGGAAGUGAAAACUCAGGGCUUAACCCUGAGCCUGCUUUCGAUACGGGCAGACUUGAGGGAUGUAGGGGAGAACGGAAUUCCUGGUGGAGCGGUGGAAUGCGCAGAUAUCAGGAGGAACACCAGUGGCGAAGGCGGUUCUCUGGACAUUUCCUGACGCUGAGAAGCGAAAGCGUGGGGAGCAAACAGGCUUAGAUACCCUGGUAGUCCACGCCGUAAACGGUGGGCACUAGGUGUGGGUUCCAUUCCACGGAAUCCGUGCCGAAGCUAACGCAUUAAGUGCCCCG
RNAcentral lists this ribosomal RNA (466 nucleotides) under Propionicimonas sp. RNAcentral describes it as "bacterial SSU rRNA". It matches the Rfam family "Bacterial small subunit ribosomal RNA", at positions 397 to 871 of the family's 1533-position model. Lineage: Bacteria; Bacillati; Actinomycetota; Actinomycetes; Propionibacteriales; Nocardioidaceae. The record is from RNAcentral.